Crotalus tigris (Tiger rattlesnake) is the source of this 117-nucleotide small nuclear RNA. RefSeq annotates it as U5 spliceosomal RNA. The record is from RefSeq and is a predicted model, not a curated record. NCBI's taxonomy places the organism in Eukaryota, Metazoa, Chordata, Lepidosauria, Squamata, Viperidae. The transcript has a single exon.
AUACUCUGGUUUCUCUUCAGAUCGUAUAAAUCUUUCGCCUUUUACUAAAGAUUUCCAUGGAGAGGUCCCUUCCAAUAUUAUUAUUAUUAUUACUAUUACUAUUAUUAUAUUGAUUAA